AGCCAUGCCGCGUGCAGGAAGACGGCCUUACGGGUUGUAAACUGCUUUUAUACCGGGAAGAAUAAUACCCACGUGUGGGUAGAUGACGGUACCGUAAGAAUAAGGACCGGCUAACUCCGUGCCAGCAGCCGCGGUAAUACGGAGGGUCCGAGCGUUAUCCGGAAUUAUUGGGUUUAAAGGGUCCGCAUGCGGGUCAGUAAGUCAGGGGUGAAAGUUUGCGGCUUAACCGUAAAAUUGCCUUUGAUACUGCUGGUCUUGAGUUGCGGUGAAGUGGCUGGAAUAUGUGGUGUAGCGGUGAAAUGCAUAGAUAUCACAUAGAACACCGAUUGCGAAGGCAGGUCACUAACCGCCGACUGACGCUGAUGGACGAAAGCGUGGGGAGCGAACGGGAUUAGAUACCCCGGUAGUCCACGCCGUAAACGAUGGACACUAGCUGUCGGGCCGAUUUAGGUUCGGUGGCUAAGCGAAAGUGAUAAGUGUCCCACCUGGGGAGUACGUCGGCAACGAUGAAACUCAAAGGAAUUGACGGGGGCCCGCACAAGCGGUGGAGCAUGUGGUUUAAUUCGAUGAUACGCGAGGAACCUUACCAGGGCUUAAAUGUAGUGGGACAGGCUUAGAGAUAGGCUUUUCUUCGGACUCAUUACAAGGUGCUGCAUGGUUGUCGUCAGCUCGUGCCGUGAGGUGUCAGGUUAAGUCCUAUAACGAGCGCAACCCCUACCGUUAGUUGCCAGCGAGUAAAGUCGGGGACUCUAACGGAACUGCCGGUGCAAACCGCGAGGAAGGUGGGGAUGACGUCAAAUCAUCACGGCCCUUACGUCCUGGGCUACACACGUGCUACAAUGGCCGGUACAAUGAGCAGCCACGUCGCAAGGCGGAGCGAAUCUAUAAAACCGGUCACAGUUCGGAUCGGGGUCUGCAACCCGACCCCGUGAAGCUGGAAUCGCUAGUAAUCGGAUAUCAGCCAUGAUCCGGUGAUACGUUCCCGGGCCUUGGACACACCGCCCGUCAAGCCAUGGAAGCCGGGAGUGCCUGAAGUCCGUCACCGCAAGG
RNAcentral lists this ribosomal RNA (1050 nucleotides) under uncultured organism. RNAcentral's name for it is "bacterial SSU rRNA". It matches the Rfam family "Bacterial small subunit ribosomal RNA", at positions 390 to 1446 of the family's 1533-position model. The record is from RNAcentral.